GGCCUAACGGCUGAACCAGCUAUUUGGAGGAAUGAAUAGGUUUUUUAUAUUAAGUUGAUGUUUCAUGCAUUUUCUGUGAUUAUCGUAUGGAAAUAUAUACCCGUAUCAACUAUGUUGAAUAAAAUUCUAGAUAGAUAACUGAUUAUGACUAAUUUCUAUCUAUAUUUCUUGACCAAUUCUUGUGCCAGCAGUCGCGGCAACACAAGUAAGAUUAGUGUUAUUCAUCUUUAUUAGGUUUAAAGCGUACCUAGACGGCAUUUUUUACUUUAAAAGAGAAAAUUUUUGCUAGAGUUUUAUGUGAGAGGAAAAUAUUAGAGCUAAUGGUGUAAAGAUAAAAUUUAUUGAUACUAAUAGAAUGUAUAAUGGCGAAGGCAACCCUCUAUGUAUAAACUGACGUUAAAAGACGAAGGCUUGGGGAGCGAAUAGGAUUAGAUACCCUAGUAGUCCAGGCAGAAAAUUAUGAAUGUUAUAUGCUAGAAGAAAAUUUGGCGUAUAAAUGAAAGUGUAAGCAUUCCACCUUAAGAGUAAUGUGGCAACACAGGAACUGAAAUCAUUAGACCGUGUCUGAAACCAGUAGUGAAGUAUGUUAUUUAAUUCGAUGACCCUCGAUAAACCUUACCACAAUUUGAAUAAUAUUUAUUUUAAUAUUACAAGCGUUGCACGGCUGUCUAAAGCUAAUGUCGUGAGAUGAUGGUUAGAUCCAUUAAAUUGGCGUAAUCCUUUGCUUUAUUUAGUUAUUAUAAGCCCAUUUAACCGCUACGUUGGUUAUUUUAAUAGGGAAGAAGACAAGUCAUCAUGACCUUAAUAUUGUGGCUAGA
This 818-nucleotide ribosomal RNA is filed under the name Capnodiales sp. L1704. RNAcentral's name for it is "bacterial SSU rRNA". It matches the Rfam family "Bacterial small subunit ribosomal RNA", at positions 373 to 1218 of the family's 1533-position model. The record is from RNAcentral. Lineage: Eukaryota; Fungi; Ascomycota; Dothideomycetes; Capnodiales.